This 1328-nucleotide long non-coding RNA is filed under the name Mytilus galloprovincialis (Mediterranean mussel). Lineage: Eukaryota; Metazoa; Mollusca; Bivalvia; Mytilida; Mytilidae. The record is from RNAcentral.
CUAAAAUCUCAUAAUGUUUUGAAGCACGUUAAUGUUAUAGUUAUAGGUGAGACUCAAAGUUUUGUAGUGCCUUCCUAUUCUUAAAUGAGACAUAUGAAAGCAUUGGUUUUAAAGAUAUGUUUGUGCUGAAAAAAACAUAAUAUUUGUCGUGAAGAUGAAGAUAAAGCGUCCACAUCAUCUGGCAUUUCACAAUGUUAGAAAUCCGCGUGCUCAUCGUAGAUCAUUAAUUUUUUUUAACGUGCUUCUAAAUGCAUGACCGACCAGCUGUAAUCCCUUUUGACAAUCUGACUUCACUUGACUCAUUUUCUUGCACAGUCCACAACAGCCACUAUUGGUGACCUGAACUUUCUGGUUUGGAUGAUGGCCUAUGAUUUGGACCAUAAAGAUUAGAACUCUCCUAGCCUAAUUUUUAUGUCAUCUGUAAGUAUCCUGGUAAUACUAUAGUUUAAUUAGUCUUAUAAUGUACACCUCUUUAAACGGUGUUUGGAACAUUUGAUAACCAAGAAUACAUUUGAUAUUAUCCAUGUUCUCAGUAAAAGUUAACUGAUAAAUGCUAGAUCGUAUUAUUCCAUUCCUCUGCAUACUGACGAAGAUUAAUUAAAAAUAAAAAAUCAUAAGAUAUGCUACAAAUUUAUUUCUUCAUCGAUACAUGAACAUGAAACAUAUUGAAGAUAAUAUCAUACAUCGUUGUUAAAUAAAUAUGAAUUACAACCGUACUUUAGUAUCAAAAAAUAGUACUUUAUGGUUAUACAAUCGUAUUUAAGCUUACAAAAUCGUACUUCAGUGUCAAACAAUCGUCCUUAAACGUCAAACUCUUAUUUCAGCUUCUCCCAAAAGUCCAUCAGCCUCAAAUUAUCGUACUUCAACGUGAAAAUAACGGUUAGAACGACCUUAGCAGUCCAGAGUUAUAUAUAUUGAUAAAUACGGGUUGGUCUUUUUUAGAUAUUCUUGCUGCGUUUUUUAAGAUAAAGCAAAUUAAGAUGAACUAUACUAAAAUGAAUGUGAAUGUAAGCAUGUAUAUUCGACCAAUGAGCGGCAUUUAACUAUGAAAAUCAUAAAAACGGUAAAGUCAAAUUUAAAAGGCACCGACACGGUUUUCAAAUAUAAAAGACAGCGAAUAAUAUGCCGCCUAUGAGUUGAGACAAAGACAUAUCAUAUUGUUCAACCAUUUCUCGGUGUAAACCUAAAACUUAUAUUGUGUUGAUUGUAAUCGUUUUUAUCAUUACUGUGUUGAAGCAGUGUUUUUGUGAGGAAAUAAUCCUUGUUUAUGAAGAACCGACAGUGUUGAUAUGGACGAGAGCAAGUAUUAAUUCAAAUAUAUAAACAAG